RNAcentral lists this long non-coding RNA (2289 nucleotides) under Pelobates cultripes (western spadefoot toad). Lineage: Eukaryota; Metazoa; Chordata; Amphibia; Anura; Pelobatidae. The record is from RNAcentral.
AGUCUGGACCUGCAGCAGUGUUUCAAGUCUCUGCCCUUUCUUGCAGGUAAGUGCUAUUGUGGUUUAGUAUGGUUCUUUUAGCGAACAUUAGGCAGUGUAGGACCUGCCGAAUAUGGGGUACAUUGGCAUUGUGGCUGGCUUAUGCAAUGUAUGAUCAUAUAAUGUAACUAAAUCCCCAUACUUUUCAUAUAUAGUACUUAGUUAUGUCUCCUCUUGUUUUGCCUUUUAUAUCUUGUCUUGUUUUAUUUUGUAAUCCCAGUUUAUGUACAGUCCUGUCCUGCCCUGUUCUUGUUUUCAUUCUUGCUGCAGAGCCUCCCUAUUCAGCUCCUUCAAGUUCCUGGGAUCCACUGUAGCUGCAUCAGGGCUCUGGUAUGUGGCCGCACAAACUCUGGUGCUCAACACCAGAGGGCAAGUGGUUACCCAGCACCAGGCCCUGAUAAUCCACUUCCACGCUGAAGACUCUGCUCAUCUCCACAGCAGGCACUCAGGGGUCCCAGACCGCCACACACACACACCCUGCACCCUCUAUUUCUGUUCACUUUCUGUUUGUCUUGAAUAAUUUCAAAAGACUGUUUUAUCUUUCGCCAGCACCUACAACGUCUGCUGUUUAUUUGUUUUAGUGAACGUUUAAGUUUACUGUGAGUGUAUUGUCGGGAUACGCAAGGUGGCUUUUGGUAAUUUUGUUGCGGUUAUAGGUUUUGUUGAAUUUGACAUUAUUUGCGUAAUAAACUACAUAAAUUUAGCAACAUGUUUGGAAACCUGGGGAUAGUUUGCAGCUGCUACAAGGUACCAAUUUUUGUUAUUAGCAACAGCUUGCGACUACUGUUUACCAUCAAGCUUCUGCAAUCCUAUAUUGAAUUACAGAGAUUUCACCAGAUAUUUAAAUGUAUUUGCUUAUAUCAUAUGUAUGUGUGUGUGCGUGUAUGCGUGCGUGUAUGCGUGCGUGUAUGCGUGUGUGUGUAUAAAGUCAGAUUUAGUUUCCGUGGGUGAAAAAAAUAUAUGAUACAUAUUACAAAACGAUUCUUCAAUAAGAAUAAUGUACAUGCCUGUGUCUAUUAAAGAACUCUCACAUAUAAUUUCAUGCUGCAAGACCUUAUACUCGAUUGAUACCAACUUGAAAAAGAACAGAUAUACCCUGUCUUCAUUUAUGGCAGGGGUGCCCAAACAGUACACCCCCAGAUGUUUUAAAACUACGGCUUCCAUCAAGCUUUGUCAUUUUAAAGGCAUUUUAGAGGCACGCAAAGCAUCGUGGGAGUUGUAGUUCUACAACAUCUGGGGAUCUACCUAUUGGACAGGCCUGAUUUAUGGGAUUGUUCUUGUUUGUUGAGUAGACUAUUUAGGGAUCAUCUAUUAAUCUGUCUGUCUGUCUAUCUGUCUGUCUAUCUCGAUAAACAGGCAAAAAGAUAGAUAUUGGACUUUACUGUCCUUCCCCAUGUUGCACAAUAAUAUUGUCCUAUGUUGUAAAUGGUAAAUACUGAGUUUACUUCCAGUAAAGAUUUGUAUUUUGUGUCUGGGAAUGGUGAUUACAAACCUCUGGCAGUUUAAGAGAAAAUAUAUUAAUGAUUAUAUUUCUUACUGGAAGCAUGUUACUAAUUAUUAAAUUAUACGUGCAUGAUAAAGAACAGCUGAGCAAGAGAUUUACUCCUACAAAAUCAAACACUUUUUUUUGUUAAAGAAUAUUAGAAUAGUUAUUUGAAACCUGGGAUGAAUAAAACAGCGAUUUUAGUAGAAAGUGCUGUUCAAAGAUACAAAAAAUUAAAGUGAUUUACAUUUACAAAAUUCUAAUUUUUAUUUAUUCGUUCAUCAUUUACAGACAUUUUGAAGGAUGUAACAGUACGAACCUUAAUAGCUUGAUCUACUGGAUCCCAGCAUGGUAAAAAGUUUACUGCAGCCCAGCAAGAAUAAAAGUGCAUAAAUGGUAUUUAACUGCAUGUGUAUCUCAUCCACUACACUAGUGAAAAUCUCUCAGAGGGAGAAGAAAGACUCUUACAGAGAUGAAUUGAACUUGCAAUGCCAAUUCCUAUUUACAAAAUGCUCUAAGCCACAUACUCGUGGAAAAUGAAACAAUUACACUGCAAAUCCUAUAUUUGCUCUAGGCAGACAUAGGAUACUGUAAGUCCACUAAAUCACUUGUGUAGCAGGUGUCAGAUGAAAGUACCAUAUAACUAAUAUAAAUAACCCCUGAUAUACCAAAUUUAACUAAUAUAAAUCACCCUUGAUACACCAAUUUUAAGGUACACCUAUUUUAACAUAUGGACUGUAUUAACUAAACAGUAUGGUGAAACUAAC